Molecule: microRNA, 20 nt
Filed under: Prunus persica (peach)
Lineage: Eukaryota; Viridiplantae; Streptophyta; Magnoliopsida; Rosales; Rosaceae
Description: microRNA miRNA_7
Source: RNAcentral
UAAGAGAUAGGGCCUCACCU